Sapajus apella (tufted capuchin) is the source of this 115-nucleotide long non-coding RNA. RefSeq lists it as uncharacterized. The record is from RefSeq and is a predicted model, not a curated record. NCBI's taxonomy places the organism in Eukaryota, Metazoa, Chordata, Mammalia, Primates, Cebidae. The transcript has 3 exons.
UUUUAUAAUAGAAUAGCAGAAUAAAUUCAAGAGAUCUGUUAUACAACAUGGUGACUAUAGUUAAAAACAAUGUAUUGCAUACUUGAAAAUCACUGAAAGUAAAAUUUAACUGUUC